ANGNGCGNCCUAUCAUGCAGUCGAGCGGACAGAAGGGAGCUUGCUCCCGGAUGUUAGCGGCGGACGGGUGAGUAACACGUGGGUAACCUGCCUGUAAGACUGGGAUAACUCCGGGAAACCGGAGCUAAUACCGGAUAGUUCCUUGAACCGCAUGGUUCAAGGAUGAAAGACGGUUUCGGCUGUCACUUACAGAUGGACCCGCGGCGCAUUAGCUAGUUGGUGGGGUAAUGGCUCACCAAGGCGACGAUGCGUAGCCGACCUGAGAGGGUGAUCGGCCACACUGGGACUGAGACACGGCCCAGACUCCUACGGGAGGCAGCAGA
RNAcentral lists this ribosomal RNA (323 nucleotides) under Bacillus pumilus. Its description in RNAcentral is "bacterial SSU rRNA". It matches the Rfam family "Bacterial small subunit ribosomal RNA", at positions 53 to 355 of the family's 1533-position model. Lineage: Bacteria; Bacillati; Bacillota; Bacilli; Caryophanales; Bacillaceae. The record is from RNAcentral.